Molecule: ribosomal RNA, 854 nt
Filed under: uncultured bacterium
Lineage: Bacteria
Description: bacterial SSU rRNA
Rfam family: Bacterial small subunit ribosomal RNA
Source: RNAcentral
AGAGUUUGAUCCUGGCUCAGGAUGAACGCUGGCGGUAUGCCUUAUACAUGCAAGUCGUACGAGAGUUUUUAACUCUAGUGGCGGACGGGUGAGUAACACGUAGGAAUUUGCCUUUAGGAGGGGGACAACAACUGGAAACGGUUGCUAAUACCCCAUAUGCUUUCGAGUGAAAUGGAUUUCCGCCUAAAGAGAAGCUUGCGGCUGAUUAGCUUGUUGGUAGGGUAAUGGCCUACCAAGGCGACGAUCAGUAUCUGGUUUGAGAGGACGAUCAGACACACUGGAACUGAGACACGGUCCAGACUCCUACGGGAGGCAGCAGUAGGGAAUUUUCCGCAAUGGGCGAAAGCCUGACGGAGCAAUACCGCGUGAGGGAUGACUGCCUAUGGGUUGUAAACCUCUUUUUUCAGGGAGGAAUAAAUGACGUGUACCUGAAGAAUAAGCAUCGGCUAACUCCGUGCCAGCAGCCGCGGUAAGACGGAGGAUGCAAGUGUUAUCCGGAAUCACUGGGCGUAAAGCGUCUGUAGGUGGCUCGACAAGUCAACUGUUAAAUCUUGAAGCUCAACUUCGAAAUCGCAGUCGAAACUAUCGAACUAGAGUAUAGUAGAGGUAAAGGGAAUUUCCAGUGGAGCGGUGAAAUGCGUAGAGAUUGGAAAGAACACCGAUGGCGAAGGCACUUUACUGGGCUAUUACUGACACUCAGAGACGAAAGCUAGGGUAGCAAAUGGGAUUAGAUACCCCAGUAGUCCUAGCCGUAAACAAUGGAUACUAGGUGUUGAACAGAUCGACCUGUGCAGUACCAAAGCUAACGCGUUAAGUAUCCCGCCUGGGAAGUAUGCACGCAAGUGUGAAACUCA